CUGGAGUCUACACACCACACUGCUGGAGUUGUGGUGGAGUGAGCUCAUUGUUUACAGUCAAGAAUGGCAGAGAAAGUACUGAGACACUUUUCAUUACCAGCUGUACCAACAGCAGCUUGUACUGCCAAACAGAGCAAGAAAAGAAAGACUGAGCUGGAGAAGGCUACAAACAAAAAGAAGUUGGAUAGCUCAAGAAGUGAAAUAAGAGUCAACAUUGGAGUGACUGUUCAACUAUGGAGAAAACUGAUGGAGUCAAAGGCCUGAACACGGACACCAUGGUAGCUGUGUCUCUGUUGGACAGUUAUGAGAUGGACGCAUCAACCUCCAGCCUUCAAAGAGUCACUUCACGACAGAACCAUGCCCUGAUGUUUCCACUAUUUCUGCAGAGUCGCUCUCUGACAGGUGGCUGUAACUUGAUGCUGGUAGCAACAAGGGUCAGACCACUGUUAUUCAUGUAGGAUGUGUCUUUGAUGGAUACAUUUCAAUACAUGUGUCCUUCUUUCAUUUUAAGUUGGUUUGCUGUGUGUGCAAGAAUGUGCUUCUUAGCAGGGACACAAUACCAAAAGGAAUGGCAUCAUUUCGUAAGAUGCACAAGGAAAAAGCUUCCUGAGGGUCACAUGUUAGCCUAGCGCUUGAGACUAUUGCAUAUUAGUAAGACUUUUUUAAAGAAAAUAGUCUUCGCAUUUCAAUUCAUGAUCUGACUGUCAGCUGACCACAGUAGAAAGUGGGAAACCGUAUGCACCUAACAAUCCUAUAAAUAACGGCUUGCCACCCAUUACCGACUGGCUUUUUUUUCCUGUGUUGUCUUUGACAGAAUCAGUAACAUUUGUAUGCCACAUAAACACAUUCAGAUGUAAUUGUAUAUCCUGUAAACACAUUUAGUUCUCCAUCCUUAUCCAGUUUUCCUUUCCAUUUUUGCAGAGAUGAUGGAACUCCUUUCUCUUAGGCCAGGUACUCCAAGGUAUAUAACAAAAUGUGAAACUUUGUAAAUUACCCUGAAAAUGAAAUUUAAGAAUUGCUGAAUAUGAAAUGACUGUAAAUGGCACAAUUAUGAUGUAAC
This 1060-nucleotide long non-coding RNA is filed under the name Sparus aurata (gilthead seabream). RNAcentral describes it as "lncRNA (ENSSAUG00010009394.1)". The record is from RNAcentral. Lineage: Eukaryota; Metazoa; Chordata; Actinopteri; Spariformes; Sparidae.